RNAcentral lists this ribosomal RNA (555 nucleotides) under uncultured bacterium. Its description in RNAcentral is "bacterial SSU rRNA". It matches the Rfam family "Bacterial small subunit ribosomal RNA", at positions 52 to 602 of the family's 1533-position model. The record is from RNAcentral.
UACAUGCAAGUCGAGCGAGAAAGUAUCUUCGGAUAUGAGUAGAGCGGCGGACGGGUGAGUAACGCGUAGGAAUCUACCUAGUAGAAGGGGAUAGCCCGGGGAAACUCGGAUUAAUACCGUAUACCUCCUUUGGGAGAAAGAGGGCCUCUCUUUGAUGCUCUCGCUACUAGAUGAGCCUGCGUAAGAUUAGCUAGUUGGUGAGGUAAUGGCUCACCAAGGCGACGAUCUUUAGCUGGUCUGAGAGGACGAUCAGCCACAUUGGGACUGAGACACGGCCCAGACUCCUACGGGAGGCAGCAGUAGGGAAUAUUGGACAAUGAGCGCAAGCUUGAUCCAGCCAUACCGCGUGUGUGAAGAAGGCUUUCGGGUUGUAAAGCACUUUAAGCAGGGAGAAAAAGUUAUAGGCUAAUACCCUAUGACCGUGAUGUUACCUGCAGAAUAAGCACCGGCUAAUUCCGUGCCAGCAGCCGCGGUAAUACGGAAGGUGCAAGCGUUAAUCGGAAUUACUGGGCGUAAGGCGCGCGUAGGUGGUUUGGUUAGUUGGAUGUGAAAGCC